GACGAACGCUGGCGGCGUGCUUAACACAUGCAAGUCGAACGGAAAGGCCCUUCUUUUGUGGGGUGCUCGAGUGGCGAACGUGUGAGUAACACGUGAGUAACCUGCCCUUGACUUUGGGAUAACUUCAGGAAACUGGGGCUAAUACCGGAUAGGAGCUCCUGCUGCAUGGUGGGGGUUGGAAAGUUUCGGCGGUUGGGGAUGGACUCGCGGCUUAUCAGCUUGUUGGUGGGGUAGUGGCUUACCAAGGCUUUGACGGGUAGCCGGCCUGAGAGGGUGACCGGCCACAUUGGGACUGAGAUACGGCCCAGACUCCUACGGGAGGCAGCAGUGGGGAAUAUUGCACAAUGGGCGGAAGCCUGAUGCAGCAACGCCGCGUGCGGGAUGACGGCCUUCGGGUUGUAAACCGCUUUCGCCUGUGACGAAGCGUGAGUGACGGUAAUGGGUAAAGAAGCACCGGCUAACUACGUG
This 468-nucleotide ribosomal RNA is filed under the name uncultured bacterium. RNAcentral's name for it is "partial 16S ribosomal RNA". It matches the Rfam family "Bacterial small subunit ribosomal RNA", at positions 28 to 507 of the family's 1533-position model. The record is from RNAcentral.